Molecule: RNA transcript, 1695 nt
Organism: Lycium barbarum (goji berry)
Lineage: Eukaryota; Viridiplantae; Streptophyta; Magnoliopsida; Solanales; Solanaceae
Exons: 2
Source: RefSeq, a predicted model, not a curated record
UAUUUCAUCCUUACUUUUAAUUUUUUGGUUUUCAAUUUUUUUGGUGAUUCUGGUAAAAUUUAAUUUCGCUGGGGGCAAUUUGACUCUUCAAUUACGGAUCAGGGUAUGAAGCGUUGUACCGUUUUUGUCAGUUUAGGGAAUGUUCGUCCUUUGAUUGAGUUAGAAAAUAGAAGGUGGAAGAGAAACAAUAAUAGUAAUGAAACUUUUACGAGUGUAUCAAUGUUGUUUCAACUUUACUAGAAUUCUUAGAAGAGGGCUAUAUUGUGGAUCUUUUUCUCACUUGGACAUAAUAUAUUUAUGAGUUUUUGGCCAAAAAUAUCCAAGUAUAACCUCAUCCUCCAUUACUUCACUAACACCCAGAAAUCACAGUGAAUUCCAUUGUAACUGAAGAGCAAAUAGUAAAAGCAUGUAAUUUGGUGACAGACAAUUGAGGUGGAUACUUUGUUGCAGCUGUUGAACCCUAUUCUGUUAGUUGGGUGAAAGUUGGGAUUGGUUUUGGCUAAAACAAUACUGAUUUAGGAAGCAGCCUCGGCCUCCUUUUCAGUGGCCUUGGCUUUUACUUUUUCCUUCCUCUCGCAUAACACAUCUCAAUUAGCAUAAUUAUAGAGAUGUUGCAUGCUCUUUUGAUGAGUUUGAGUUGAUGGAAUCAUGACAUGAUUGAUGAUUCAUUACUCCUGGAAUAUAAUAGGGAUAAGGAGUUUGUGCAUGAAAACUGGAAACAUCAUGCAUUUUGGCUGGAGAUGCAUAUGCAUCUGACAGAAUGAGUUCCUGUAAUGUGGAAAUUCCUUUGAUACAGUACGAGUACAUGACCCCUCAAAUAGAAAAUGACUUUGGAAUAUUGUUACUGCUUGGAUAGCCAUCACCUUGCAAAUGACUUUCUACUACAUCUACAGUGACUUGUAUUUUAGUAUCAAUAUGUACGUGGCCACCCAAUGAAGUACUCUUGCGCUUUGGCCAUUGCUUUUAGGCAAGCUUGACUUGACAUAGGUGAAGAAGGUGGAAGACUCACCUAUCCUCAAUUCACUCUUCUUAGGAAAAUGGUGAAAUUUCUCAUGUUAACAUAAGCAUGUGGCUAAGAUGACACUUAUCUGAAGAUACGCUGAAAAGUUUCAUCUCUCAGAAAGUAUUCAGUUUCUCUAAGCAUGUAAAGCAAGGCAUAUGACCUGGUUCAAGUUCAACCAUGCCUAAAGAUCGGUCAUAUAUUUGGGAACAUUUUGAAAUGGUUAAUGAAGAUGAAGAAGUGGGUUAUCAGGAAAAAAAAGACGAUGAAGAUGAUGAAGAAGUGUGUGAAGAACUGUAUGAAAAACCGCUUAGAGUGCAGUGCAUGAGAUGUGGUAGGAACUUUGCGUAUAUUGGCACGCAUACAUUUGCUUUAGAGAAGCAUAAUAAGAUAUGUCAUGCGCUUCAUCUAAAGAAAGAGAGGAAGUGUCAGAGGUGUUUGAAAAACCGCGUAGAGCAAAGUGCAUGACAUGUGGUAGGAACUUUGCGUAUAUUGGCACAAAUACACAUCCUUGGAGAAGCAUAUUGAAAUAUGUGUCGCCAUGGUUUUUAAGCUUAUGUUAUGAAUUUUAGACUUAAUUUGUGAUGUGUUGUGUUUGAUGAUGGAUUUAAGACUUAGUUUGUGAUUGCUAAUGUUUUCUAUUUGGACAAUUUUAAGACAUAUUAGUGUUGUUUUAAGCGUUCACAGCUGCUGAA